Long non-coding RNA from Chinchilla lanigera (long-tailed chinchilla), 904 nucleotides. RefSeq lists it as uncharacterized. Lineage: Eukaryota; Metazoa; Chordata; Mammalia; Rodentia; Chinchillidae. The record is from RefSeq and is a predicted model, not a curated record. The transcript is spliced from 3 exons.
GCCCGGCCCAGGAAAGAGCAAAGGCCUCUGGUCCGGGAGCCAAUCAGGGCCGGAGAUCCCACGGACCGAGCGGAACAGCUGCUGACCUGGCAGGCGCUGUGCCACUGAGCUAAACCCCCAGCCCUGGUGGCUCUUGGAGGAAUGGUGCCACUGCAGACACUGGGCGCAGCCUCCCGGAGGGCGGCUGGAGCAGAGGAGCACAGGUCCUCGAUGGACGCUGGUGCAGUGUCCCCAGCCGGCACCGUGUGAAACCUUACAGAAGGUGGAAGUCACGGCCCGCAGACAUGACCCUGCCUGUUCUGGAAUGUUCUGUUCACUAAAGGCGCUGGGGCCUCUGGGCCCCAGAGGUCGCAUGUAUGGCACUCAGGUGCCAGAGACCAGGGAGGAGCAGGUGCUGCGGCUCACGUGGCUUAGCUUCCCCCUCCCGACUUCAGCACCCUGCUCAUUUUUGACUUUGGUGUUUGUCGGUCCACGUUGGCAGCCCGUAAUGAUUCCGCGCCUUGUCGGGAGCUGCUUCACGUCCAUACCAUCUCCACUCUUCAAGGCCCCUUUGUCCGCUAGUUUCGUGUGCUGAAUCAUCUAACUGAGAUGUUUUUGGUUGUUGGUGGCAUGCCUUCUUUCUAAAUCAAGGUUUUACUGUCACUUAACGUCUUCGCGGGGGCAGUAUUGGAGAUGGACCCAGGGUGCUCUGGCACUGAGCUACGUCCCCAGCACUUUUCAUUUGUUAUUUUGAGAAGGGAUCUCAUGGGGUUUCCCAGGCCGGCCUCGAGGCUGUGAUCUUCCUGGCUCAGGGCCCCAAGAAGCUGGGAUUAUAGGCGGGUCCCGCCGUGUCUGGCAAGGGAGGUCUUUUAAUGGAACAAUUGAUUUUCUUCAUGUCAUAAAAAUAAAGAGUUUUUUCAUCUUA